Molecule: ribosomal RNA, 290 nt
Filed under: Priestia megaterium
Lineage: Bacteria; Bacillati; Bacillota; Bacilli; Caryophanales; Bacillaceae
Description: Bacillus megaterium partial 23S ribosomal RNA
Rfam family: Bacterial large subunit ribosomal RNA
Source: RNAcentral
CUAUCCGUCGUGGGCGUAGGAAAUUUGAGAGGAGCUGUCCUUAGUACGAGAGGACCGGGAUGGACACACCGCUGGUGUACCAGUUGUCUUGCCAAAGGCAUCGCUGGGUAGCUAUGUGUGGACGGGAUAAGUGCUGAAAGCAUCUAAGCAUGAAGCCCCCCUCAAGAUGAGAUUUCCCAUAGCGCAAGCUAGUAAGAUCCCUGAAAGAUGAUCAGGUUGAUAGGUCAGAGGUGGAAGCGUGGCGACAUGUGUAGCUGACUGAUACUAAUCGAUCGAGGACUUAACCAAAC